RNAcentral lists this non-coding RNA (107 nucleotides) under Bigelowiella natans. Lineage: Eukaryota; Cercozoa; Chlorarachniophyceae. The record is from RNAcentral.
CUUUUUUUUUUUUCUUUUAAAUUUCGUAUUCUGAUCCUAUUCUUUUCUUAAAGCAACACGGCAAUUUGAGUUUUGGGAGCUGGUGCAAAGAGAGAGAGAGGAAGAAA